AUGAGGCAACUCCACCAAAAUCAUAAACUUCCAUGGAUUCUGUUGGGUGAUCUGAAUGAAAUUCAGUACCUACAUGAGAAGGAUGGAGGUAACCCACGCCCGAUACAGUAUAUGCAGGCUUUCCAGCAGGUUAUCGAGGACUGUGAGCUGCACGACCUUGGGUUUAUAGGUGACAAGUUCACUUGGCAUCGAGGGAGAAUCAAGGAGAGGCUUGACAGGGGGCUGGUAAACGACACUUGGUCGGUACUUUUCCCCCAUGCAGCUCUGCAAAAUAUGGAAUAUAAUCACUCGGAUCAUCGACCUCUGCUUGUGGACACAGAGUAUUAC
RNAcentral lists this ribosomal RNA (327 nucleotides) under Triticum aestivum (bread wheat). RNAcentral's name for it is "partial small subunit ribosomal RNA". Lineage: Eukaryota; Viridiplantae; Streptophyta; Magnoliopsida; Poales; Poaceae. The record is from RNAcentral.